Cyprinus carpio (common carp) is the source of this 1895-nucleotide long non-coding RNA. RefSeq lists it as uncharacterized. NCBI's taxonomy places the organism in Eukaryota, Metazoa, Chordata, Actinopteri, Cypriniformes, Cyprinidae. The record is from RefSeq and is a predicted model, not a curated record. The transcript is spliced from 2 exons.
UGUUUUCCUAAAUUACAUACUCGGAAGAUUCCAUGCAUUUGUGGAAGAAUAGUAAUUCUUAGUUGUUGUUUUUUUCUUCCCUUCCCCUCAAAAGACUUUUAGUUUGAAAUAUUACUAUGUUCAUUGUCAGUCAGUACUGAAAUGCAAUAACAGAUGUGUUCCGCAGAUUGUAUCUUUGAGUGAAAGCAGACAACAGGCUAAAAUACCGUAUCACUAUUUUAUUUAUAUUUUUAAGAGAGUAAAAAUGCAGGGUUUCCAGUGACAAAAAAUAAUGUUUUUUGCAUCAUUUUAGAUAAUGACCUUUUAAAAGCCCAUUGUGAUACUGUGAUGAAACACAUGCUUGUGAUAUGUGGAUUGAUUGAAUUGCUUUAUAAGUCGGCAUCUUAAUGAAAGGAUCAUAGAUUUUUACAAGAAAAAUCAGAAAACUGAAGUACAGUAUCAAAACGUGAUUUGCCAGAUUUUCCCUUUGAGGAUGGAAAGACUGUUUUUUUUCCCUGCAAGCUCUUAUUGUGCAUAUGCUAUUCCCCCUAGCAUAUGAGAUGAACAAUCGUACAUUGGUGCUGAUGUUGGGAGCAGAUGCUAAAUAGUCAAUUACCAACAUUCCAAAAGUCAGAAUCUUGACCAAAGCAAAGUUGAAUAUACAACAUUUUGCUCAUAUCUUGGGUGUAUUUAAAAAAAGGCAUGUUGACCCCAAAUAAACAGUUUUUACAAGUCAAUAAGCAUCAGAAUCCAGUAAUGUAAGCUAAUAACAACGAGCUUCAUAAUAACCAACUUAUCAGUUAACAGUGACUUUUGUGAAAGCCCAUGAUUAGUAAUAAUGCCUCAUGAAAGUGCUUUUAGAACUUAUUGGAGUGCUUUUUCAUCAUAGACAAUAAUGUUUUAUACAUUUGCUUAACAUAGACCACACUGUCUUAAAAAUAUUUUUUUUUUUGUGAUCCACUAAUGUUUCUUAGUAAUACGGGAGGAUAGAAUUUAAGUUUCUUUUUCUCAGUAAUGGCAAAAUGUUUUGUAUUUUUGUUUAUUUUUUUAUUUUUAUUUUGUAUUUUAUUUUUUUUCAUUUUGACUGAUUUUGGAAUUUGUAUGUCUUGUAUUACAAAUGUGUGGCUGUAAUUGCUUUGCUUUGUGAUAUCAUUAAGGUUGAUUUAAUUUUAUGGUUUAGAAAUUUAUUAAGUGAAAAUAUCAACUAUGCCAAGGAAUUGUUUACCCUCAGUUACCACACUAAUGCAAACUCUGAAUCACACUUUUCAAAACCUCUUCAGAAGCAUUCACUAGACUUAAACUGCCAAAAUGAUAUCAAAGAGCAUUUCUUAUUGUUUUUGCAUUUGAAAAACUGAUAUUAGAAAUACUUCUGCUUAUUUUUGAAAGAAAGAGACCAUUAUAAGCAAAUGUUUGGCUUUGUUGUGGUUUUAAAUGUAACUGCCUGUGCAUUCCCGUAGGUUCAGUCACCUUUGGACUAUUGAAAUAAGGCUAAAGCUUGACUGCACUGGAUAUGGACUGGAUAUGAUUUUGCUGGACAGAACCUUUCUAAUUCAUACUUAAAUCCAUUAAUUAAAAAAAAAAAAAAAAAAAAAAAAACCAACCAUUCAAGUUAUUUCCAUACUGCUGGACUUCACUGCUGUUUUUCUUUUUUUUUCUCACUGGUCAAUAUCAGUUUGUUGUUUUUUCUUUGUUUUUUGUACCCAGAUCGGCUUCAGCAUCCAAGGUUCUUACAAACUUUUUCCCCGUAGAAACUAAAGAGGAAUGAUGGUCAAAUCUCUUGUAUGGGAUGUUUCAGAGACAGAAUUGGGGUGAGGAUUCAGGGUGUUGUGUUAAUUAAAGUUUUGUUGUUUUGUAAAUUUGUUGUUAUUUGUUUAGAGUGGAUCCCUAAUAUACAUUUUUCCUUUAUUGUUUCAUAA